This 250-nucleotide ribosomal RNA is filed under the name uncultured bacterium. RNAcentral's name for it is "partial 16S ribosomal RNA". It matches the Rfam family "Bacterial small subunit ribosomal RNA", at positions 355 to 598 of the family's 1533-position model. The record is from RNAcentral.
UGGGGAAUCUUGCGCAAUGGACGAAAGUCUGACGCAGCGACGCCGCGUGGGUGAUGAAGGCCUUCGGGUUGUAAAGCCCUGUGGGGAGAGACGAAUAAGCGCUGGCUAAUACCUUGCGUGAUGACGGUAUCUCCUUAGCAAGCACCGGCUAACUCUGUGCCAGCAGCCGCGGUAAGACAGAGGGUGCAAACGUUGUUCGGAAUUACUGGGCGUAAAGCGUGUGUAGGCGGUUAUGUAAGUCGGAUGUGAA